GUAUCAUUCCAGAUUUCCCUCUGCUUCCACUUAGACUGAAAGCAUAUCCGUGGUGUGAGGAUCAGUAUUUCAUACUCUCAUAUUCAUAAACUGUUGAUCCUGAAGAGAGUUAUUCCGAAGAAGUCCGCAAUCGAUACGGUACAAGUUCUCUCAGAGGUUUGAUCAGCGGCGACUGCCAGGUUGUCUCAGUCCGGAGGCAAUCGGAGGUAAACGUUCUCUUCAUCGGCCCUGUUUGUGUGCAGGUUCAGAGAAGCUAUCAUUAACCCCUGAUUUCCUCCGGGUGACUAGAUCCUUGAGGUCUUUGGUAUUCCUGAACAUAGUCUUCCUAUGUUGGCGGGCGGGACGAGGCCGAUCCCCUGAUUCCGGAGGGUACAUUCAGCGAAAGCACUUAAAGAGAGUAAGGAGACCUUUGGGACGAAUCGAGACAUCAGCAGCGUUUUCAACGCUUUCGGUCGCCUCAGCUUUCGGAGAAGCCUGGUGCUGCCUCGCCGUUGCCCGAUAGUGGUUGCUUGUGGAGAAAAAACAGAAAUGUGGAAUUCUAGCGGCUUACGUGAACGUGUGUUGGUGUUGGUGUUGAUACCAGGUGCUGGAUUGGGAAGUUUAACCGUACAGCAAGUCAUUCGAACCUGAAAAUAGUUUCGCCGACUGAUUUUGUGCACGUAUGGAUUUUACUUGGGAAGAAUAUCGGUGUCAGUCGCUUCGUUCGCGUGGUGACGAGAAGAGGAUUGUUUUUUAUCUGACAUUGUUCAAUCGUUGGAAAGGCUUGCGUUAGGACUUUUGUGCUAGUAAAACCAGGUUGGAGAUCGAGAGAGAAAGCAGAGGAUCCGACGCUUGCAGUUGUUGCUUGGCAAUACAAGUAUCGUUCUUGACUGUCGACGAACCUCGGGAUUAUUUGGCAGUGUUUAGUCUGUGGAGAGCUACACGCUGUGAUAGCUUUUGUAGAUUUCAUCUACGGAUUUCUGGUCACGGAAGACAUUGCAUCAGUAACAUAAGCUGUCUUAACGAUUAUCUUCCGAGUAUAGUUGAGCUACCGCUGGAGCGUUCAUCUAGCUACGGUUUUCUGGUUGGACGGUUCAGUUAGAACUGAUGGUGAGGUAAUAUAGCAUUGGGAUCAGUAUUCAUAGGGGGCCUAUAUAUUUCUAAGAGACUGGCAGGUGAGACUGGAUCACUGGUUACAGCAAUACGUGUGUACGGCACCUUUUGCUGAGAGGAUUGUUUCAUUACAGCUUCUGGCUUGAAGGUGGUUGCUUUCUCGCGCCAGAAAGCGCUAAUUGGUAGAAAAACAUAUUCUAUCAUUUAACGCGCCGCUAGGGAGUUACCUUGGCACUACUGACUUGAUUCUUUGCCACGAACAUUUGCAUCAUAUAGUGUAACCUGGUGGCUAGCAGUACUUUUCAAAGACCUUGCCUUUACGAUACCCAAUGAUACAUAAGCGAGUUGCUUUCUCUAAGAUGAGAGUUGGAAGUCUUUGAAUUUCUUUUUGUAUUGAACGGUUGACGAACGUAAUUGGAAUACAAUACUCUUUCCCUCUAUUUUCAUAGAAAUCGAACGCUGACGGAAUUCGAUCAUUGCCGAGUAUUAAGAAGUGGAACACGUUCAAUUAUUCUUUGGAAUGUUUUGGGGAUACUAAUUAAGUCUCAGCUUGACCGAUGAUAGAAAGAAUCACCAUGACCUACGAACUCCCAAACACGAGAUUCCGCUGCAACCUCAGCGUGGAUUUCUUCCGAUCUUUCGAACUGGGACCACCGGAUAUAAAAGGUCCAGAAGCGGUUCCAGUACAAACUCUGGAUUAUCUUCAUAUAGCCGUUAUCAUGGGCGGAUUAGGUCUUCUACAGCUACUAGGAGUGAUACUCAACAUUCUCGUUUUUAUAGUCUUCUGUAAGGAUAAGAAGAACCGUGGGUCUGUAUCUCUGUUGCUACAGGUGGUCGCCAUCUUUGAUAUUAUUUACCUCAUUAGCAACGCAGCGGGGACUACAGUCCCCGUUUUAUGGCAGUUUCUGAUUACGAGGAACGCACGAAGCUGUGACAUCACACCCUAUAUGAAGAUGCGAUUGACCGACUAUGGAUUCUUUCAGGUCGGAUUAAACGGAACACGUGACGUAGUGCGUUGGCUAAUGAUAGUUCUAUCAGAGUAUGCCCUAGUACCAUAUUGUUGCGCGUCACAAGCAGUGAAAAAAAUGUACAACCGAAUUUUCGCAAUCAUAGAAGUUUUCCUUGUGCUCGGUUUUGUUGCCGCCAUUAACACUUUCGAUUUCAUCUGCGGAGAGGUGUGGUCAAGCGAACGGAACAGUUGUCAACACAACCUCCUCGGAGUACACUUCUUGGUGACGAGGUUCAAUGUGUUUAUCCCGUAUGUUCUCGUGUUGUUUAUGUACUGUACGUUAGCGCUGUUGAUGUAUGUCAAACGCGGUACAGCGACGGACCCGAGGCCUUGGCCAUUCAUGCUGCAAGUGCGCAGGGCCUUUGCAGCGCUGACAUUAUUCAUCAUCUGCGAAGCAGCCUCAACAAUCCAUUGGUUCUUUUAUUGGGAAAUAGUUUACAUGGACCCAAAAUUCUACCAAUGGGCUCACUUUAUUUCCGGAUAUACCAUGUACUUCUUGUCGCAUUUCUACUGCGCAAUGAAAUUCUUUUUGUACUUGUGUGUCGGUGAUGACUUCCGGCGGAUUCUGGGUAAUAUGUGUUGUGGUUCCAGAUCCGGGGGCGACCUCAAUGAGAAUGACAUGCACCCUGUUUUGGAUUAUGACAACACGCCGAAACAUUUACGCCCUGACUGGGACCAGGAGUCGGAAGAAGAGGAAUCGGGCGGCGAAGAGCACGCCAUGAACGAACAGCACAUGCACACAACUCGUUCCGCAGAUAGCCAAAAGGUGGAGUUGUUACAUGACGAUCGGGAGGGCAACCAUCGCGGUUUCGACCAUGGCAACCAGAUUACGAAAGUGUAGAAUGUGGUUCCCUAGCAACCACAUCCUGUGAUGACAGUGGUUACUAUAGCAACCUCAGCGGUAUAGUAACCAUGCUGUUACUAUAAUGUGUGGUACCAGUGAUGAUGUCGGGAAUUCGAUAAUGAAUUCAGGUAAUGGCGAUUAGAAAGGAGAAUGUGAAUAGUUGUAGGAGCAAAUAUGGUGACCAGCGAAACUAAUGUCACUAUACCAAAGUGCUAUUUGUCGUAUCCACAGCAACACACACAAAAAUUAGACUCGAACUUUAUACGUUGAUAUAGGAACAAAAUACUGUACAAAUUAUUUUUAUCCAAGGUCUUCUUGUUAAACGCUUUGUGUAACCAUGGUAACGUGCUAAGUGUCUUGUUGUGAUUAAUAUGUCUGAUUUUUAUGUCUUCGCCGCCACAGUUAGUAUCUUAUGUCAUUUUGAAACACGUGUUUGAUGUUCGAAAUUUCUUUUUCUUCUAUUGCUUAUGAGUGUACUUAAGAGGACACUCAUAAAACCAAUAAUAUGGAUGCUUUUGCCACUAGAGUGCUAGUCAAAUACUUGUAGAUUCAUUAAUUGCAUAUAUGUUGAUUUGCGUGCGGAAGGUGCUUCUUUAGCAGGCUAUUGCAACCAGACCCAGGGCGUCUUCCAGGUGGUGACUGUCGGUUGUACGUCACGAACCUCGGCAAGAAAACCUCGUAGUCUGGUGUCCGUGAUGACAGCUACUGUUGGCCAUAGGUACUUCCUUCUUUGCUAGAACUUGAAAUCCUGAAGCUAUGAGAGCUCUUCCGAAUCGAAGGAAAUGUCAAUUUCAAGGUUUGUUCGCUGUUUUACAGAGAACAGCCUCUUAAAUUCUAACUUUAUGAAGGAGUUCUAAUGGUUUUACGAUUUAGCCAAGUUGUAUAUGUUAUAGCCAAAUCGGUGAUGCCUAUGGUCAACCCUUAUCUAAAUUCUAGCACACUUUGGGUGCAAUUCAGUGUUGUUUUCAAUGUAAUGUAUCCUGUAUUGCGCCACCUUUGGGCGGCAGCGGCUUUGGUAUCCGCUUGAGUGGUACACAGUACUUCCAACAAGGUCUGUCACUAAUGGUCUUCAUCAUCCCAUCAGUGUAUUAGUCUAAUAAAUAAUACACUGCUGAUACUAUACAUCAUUAAACUGCACACAUCGGCAACCAUCGCUAGAAAUGAAAAAAUGCUCCUCUGACCGUUGCCGUUUACCAGUGGUGCAAAUGACAAAAAUCAUGUAGUAGUACUGUUACCAUGGCAACUUCCAUUGAAGGCAGCUCCGCCGUGAAUGGUGCCAUUUGAUAUGAUUUGUCCAUUGUGAAGACGAGAGGUGAGUCUAUUUGUCUCCCCUGACUGGAGAUCGAUUUUGAUUACAGGUAAUCAUCCGCUUUGUUCUUUGAGUGUUCGACUGGGAGGAGCGGGAGCAUUGAAUGCGAGACAAGUUCUACAUCCUUCACUUUUUCCCGAUCCUCAGGUUGGGAUGCUUGUAUUUACUCGAAGAAAUCGAUGUCGAUGGUGAGAACCUGAGCCGUGAUGCCUGUACGGUAUCCGGCAUGGCACCAGUUAGAGCUAGUGGCUGUUGCUGAUGAAGUCGAGACAGCUCCCAGUUUCGUCUUCCCCGAAACCGCUCCUGGGUCAAAUGAAAUAUAAACACGCGCCGAGACGAGACAUUAUGAAUAUUAUUGACCCAUCUCAAUAUAGAGUUGAUAAUACCAUGCAGCUUGGAGAAGACACGCUCAUCGAUUUUGAUUAACAUAUAAGCAUUUUGCAAAUUGAAAUUGAUUUGAAAGUUGCGUGUUCUGAAUUCAUGGCAGUUUAUCUCCAUAUAUCGGUGGGGGGUUCGAUGAAGAUCCGAAUUUCUUCUUCUUCAUCUUCUACGUUCGCUUUUUGCGGUGAUUCUUCUGAGAGUCGAACGCACGCUUUCCUCAUUAUAAGCCCGGUUCUCUCGCCACUAUGCCACUGAUCUGAGACGCGAACGAAAUCAUAAAACAGCUUGAAAAGGAGCGUUCAUUAUAUAUCGCGGCAUGAUUUCUGAGGAGACGAUCAUAUCAUAUUUAAUGGAAAAACCGCCAGGGAGUCAGUCAGUACAGGGAAGAAGCCUGACAUACUAGCAUUACAUCUACUCGCCAUAAGUCGAUACAACGUGAAGUAAAACAGACAGGGGAGGUUGAGAUAUUGGAUCCGCGCACUUUUGACAUAAAUAUUCGUCUACAUCUACGUCAUUGUCUUCUGGUUGGUAAAACAAAAAAGCAUUUGACCUAGUUUUGGUCGCAGCGGUUACGAUGACGCGAGAUCUCGCGCGGGUAUAAAAUUUGGAAGCAGUCAAAGGGAAGUUUUCAUCACAUUUCAAUGUUUUAUUUGCGCUGCUCUCUUAGAACAGAAAUUGAAACCUUACUGUCGACAUCUAUCCGGUUACGUCGACUAUUCAAAAGAUGUUGCUGAGUACAUCAGAUCUAUAUACUACUAUCUUCAUCUAUUAUUUAAAAGACAACUGCGGACUUUGUUACCAGCAUCGCAGCGCCAUCUGUAUGAUUGUGCUUGUAUUAUUUUGUCCACGUGGCGCCACCAAUGUUUGUAAAACGAACUGAAAAACCUUACGUCUGCACGUGCCAAGGUGUUUCCUUUCUGAUGGAAAUUUAAAGGUAUUAUGUAAGCCUAUGAUUUAUACUCCGUUGCGUGUGUCCAUUUCGUCGGCCAUUCCGGAAAUUUGGACAGUGUCUGCUCGUUGACGUCAACUGUACACUGAUCAGUACCAGAAGCGCCAUCUAUUGGGUAUUAAUACCAUUUAGCCAGUUGUCCGAUUAUUUCUCACGUGUCGAUCAAUUAUAUUUUGAAAUCUAUUAGAAUAAAGAGAAGUUACAAAAAAUA
Lineus longissimus is the source of this 5795-nucleotide long non-coding RNA. RefSeq lists it as uncharacterized. Lineage: Eukaryota; Metazoa; Nemertea; Pilidiophora; Heteronemertea; Lineidae. The record is from RefSeq and is a predicted model, not a curated record. The transcript is spliced from 2 exons.